GAUGCCAGCUAGCGAUCCGCCAAAGUUCCUCCGAUGACUUGGUGGGCAGCUUCCGGGAAACCAAAGCAUUUGGGUUCCGGGGGAAGUAUGGUUGCAAAGCUGAAACUUAAAGGAAUUGACGGAAGGGCACCACCAGGAGUGGAGCCUGCGGUUAAAUUUGACUCAACACGGGAAACCUCACCAGGCCCGGACACCGGAAGGAUUGACAGAUUGAGAGCUCUUUCUUGAUUCGGUGGGUGGUGGUGCAUGGCCGUUCUUAGUUGGUGGAGCGAUUUGUCUGGUUAAUUCCGAUAACGAACGAGACUCUAGCCUACUAAAUAGACGUACUUUAUUACCGGCAUCUCAAGGCCCAUCGGCUGUAUUGUUACUGAAUGUUAUUUGUAUAUUUUGUUGAUAUAUAUUUAUAAUAUGUAUGAUUGAUAAUAUAUAUUUUUUUAUAAUUCAUAU
This 447-nucleotide ribosomal RNA is filed under the name Myrmeleon formicarius. RNAcentral describes it as "bacterial SSU rRNA". It matches the Rfam family "Eukaryotic small subunit ribosomal RNA", at positions 1038 to 1410 of the family's 1831-position model. Lineage: Eukaryota; Metazoa; Arthropoda; Insecta; Neuroptera; Myrmeleontidae. The record is from RNAcentral.